GUUUUAAUAGUUUAAUAAAAACUUUGGUCUUGUAAACCAAAAAUGAAAUAAUUUCUUAAAACU
Molecule: transfer RNA, 63 nt
Filed under: Potamiscus yongshengensis
Lineage: Eukaryota; Metazoa; Arthropoda; Malacostraca; Decapoda; Potamidae
Description: tRNA-Thr
Rfam family: tRNA
About the family: Transfer RNA (tRNA) molecules are approximately 80 nucleotides in length. Their secondary structure includes four short double-helical elements and three loops (D, anti-codon, and T loops).
Source: RNAcentral